This 1732-nucleotide small RNA is filed under the name Pan troglodytes (chimpanzee). Its description in RNAcentral is "retained intron". Lineage: Eukaryota; Metazoa; Chordata; Mammalia; Primates; Hominidae. The record is from RNAcentral.
CGCGGAGAUGGCGGCCGCGGCGGCGGAGGAAGGGAUGGAGCCACGGGCGCUGCAGUACGAGCAGACCCUGAUGUAUGGCCGGUACACUCAGGACCUUGGGGCCUUUGCCAAAGAGGAAGCUGCUCGGAUUCGCCUGGGAGGGCCUGAACCCUGGAAAGGUCCCCCUUCCCCUCGGGCUGCCCCAGAGCUCUUGGAAUAUGGACGGAGCCGUUGCGCCCGAUGCCGCGUCUGUUCUGUCCGCUGCCACAAGUUCCUAGUAUCCAGGGUUGGUGAAGAUUGGAUCUUCCUGGUCCUGCUGGGGCUCCUCAUGGCAUUGGUCAGCUGGGUCAUGGACUAUGCCAUUGCUGCCUGUCUGCAAGCCCAGCAGUGGAUGUCCCGGGGCUUGAACACCAGCAUCUUGCUCCAGUACCUGGCCUGGGUCACCUACCCUGUUGUCCUCAUCACUUUCUCAGCCGGAUUCACACAGAUCCUGGCCCCUCAGGCUGUUGGCUCUGGCAUCCCUGAGAUGAAGACCAUCUUGCGGGGAGUGGUGCUGAAAGAAUACCUCACACUCAAGACCUUUAUAGCUAAGGUCAUUGGGCUGACCUGCGCCCUAGGCAGCGGGAUGCCGCUUGGCAAAGAGGGCCCUUUUGUGCAUAUUGCAAGCAUGUGUGCUGCCCUUCUCAGCAAGUUCCUCUCCCUCUUUGGGGGUAUCUAUGAGGUAAGGGGAACCCUGGGGCAAGUGGGGGGCAGAGGCUGCUGAGCCCACAGCUGACCCCCUCUUGCCACCACUCUCACCAGAAUGAAUCCCGGAACACAGAGAUGCUGGCUGCCGCCUGUGCCGUGGGGGUGGGCUGCUGCUUCGCGGCACCUAUUGGAGGCGUCCUCUUCAGCAUCGAGGUCACCUCCACCUUCUUUGCAGUGCGGAACUACUGGCGGGGCUUCUUCGCUGCCACCUUCAGUGCCUUCAUCUUCCGGGUCUUGGCAGUCUGGAACCGGGAUGAAGAGACUAUUACAGCCCUCUUCAAAACCCGAUUCCGGCUCGACUUCCCCUUUGACCUGCAGGAGCUGCCAGCCUUUGCUGUCAUUGGUAUUGCUAGUGGCUUCGGUGGAGCCCUCUUUGUCUACCUGAACCGGAAGAUUGUCCAGGUGAUGCGGAAGCAGAAAACCAUCAAUCGCUUCCUCAUGAGGAAACGCCUGCUCUUCCCGGCUCUGGUGACCCUGCUCAUCUCCACGCUGACCUUCCCCCCUGGCUUUGGACAGUUCAUGGCUGGACAGCUCUCACAGAAAGAGACGCUGGUCACCCUGUUUGACAAUCGGACGUGGGUCCGCCAGGGCCUGGUGGAGGAGCUAGAACCACCCAGCACCUCACAGGCCUGGAACCCACCACGUGCCAACGUCUUCCUCACCCUGGUCAUCUUCAUUCUCAUGAAGGUGGGCUCCUCACGUGUACACUGCUAACCUUUACAUAGCUUGCCCUUCUAAGCACCUGCCACGCAGUGCUCACUCCUCGAAGCCUCUCCACAGUGCCAUGGGAAAGGCACUAUUAUCACCCCCGUUUGAAAGAUGGGGGAGUCGAAACACAAGUAGCUGGCCCAAAGUCACACAGCUAGAGGGCAGAGCGAUGAUCUGAACCCAAGCCAUCUGCUUCCAGAGUCCUUCCCCUUGCCAUCACCUGGGAGGCCUGGGGGUCCCAGGGUAGCUAGGAGGGUUACGGGGUGGCUGGGAGGGUUACGCCCACCUGAUCAGCGAG